RNAcentral lists this non-coding RNA (59 nucleotides) under unclassified sequences. RNAcentral describes it as "Li+-I sequence". It matches the Rfam family "nhaA-I RNA". From Rfam's summary of the family: Acidobacteria, Alphaproteobacteria, Betaproteobacteria and Gammaproteobacteria, Verrucomicrobia, cand. division NC10. Downstream gene The record is from Rfam by way of RNAcentral.
GGGUCUAGAGGGAAUACGCUCUAGAGGUUAAAUAAGGUAAGAUGGUCGGGCCGCCAUCU